CCCUAUGGGUUGUAACUGCUUUUAUACGGGAAGAAACACUCCCUCGUGAUGGAGCUUGACGGUACUGUAAGAAUAAGGAUCGGCUAACUCCGUGCCAGCAGCCGCGGUAAUACGAAGGAUCCAAGCGUUAUCCGGAAUCAUUGGGUUUAAAGGGUCCGUAGGCGGGAUAAUAAGUCAGCGGUGAAAGUCUGUGGCUCGGCCAUAGAAUUGCCAUUGAUACUGUUGUUCUUGAGUGAUUAUGAAGUGGUUAGAAUGUG
This 257-nucleotide ribosomal RNA is filed under the name uncultured Flavobacterium sp. RNAcentral's name for it is "partial 16S ribosomal RNA". It matches the Rfam family "Bacterial small subunit ribosomal RNA", at positions 414 to 670 of the family's 1533-position model. Lineage: Bacteria; Pseudomonadati; Bacteroidota; Flavobacteriia; Flavobacteriales; Flavobacteriaceae. The record is from RNAcentral.